Molecule: ribosomal RNA, 497 nt
Filed under: uncultured bacterium
Lineage: Bacteria
Description: partial 16S ribosomal RNA
Rfam family: Bacterial small subunit ribosomal RNA
Source: RNAcentral
GAUGAACGCUGGCGGCGUGCCUAAUACAUGCCAGUCGAGCGAACGGACGAGAAGCUUGCUUCUCUGAUGUUAGCGGCGGACGGGUGAGUAACACGUGGAUAACCUACCUAUAAGACUGGGAUAACUUCGGGAAACCGGAGCUAAUACCGGAUAAUAUUUUGAACCGCAUGGUUCAAAAGUGAAAGACGGUCUUGCUGUCACUUAUAGAUGGAUCCGCGCUGCAUUAGCUAGUUGGUAAGGUAACGGCUUACCAAGGCAACGAUGCAUAGCCGACCUGAGAGGGUGAUCGGCCACACUGGAAGUGAGACACGGUCCAGACUCCGACGGGAGGCAGCAGUAGGGAAUCUUCCGCGAUGGGCGAAAGCCUGACGGAGCAACGCCGCGUGAGUGAUGAAGGUCUUCGGAUCGUAAAACUCUGUUAUUAGGGAAGAACAUAUGUGUAAGUAACUGCGCACAUCUUGACGGUACCUAAUCAGAAAGCCACGGCUAACUACGUG